Molecule: ribosomal RNA, 472 nt
Filed under: uncultured bacterium
Lineage: Bacteria
Description: bacterial SSU rRNA
Rfam family: Bacterial small subunit ribosomal RNA
Source: RNAcentral
AGAGUUUGAUCAUGGCUCAGAACGAACGCUGGCGGCGCGCUUAACACAUGCAAGUCGAGCGGCCCUUUCGGGGGCAGCGGCGGACGGGUGAGUAACGCGUGGGAACCUGCCCUGGAGUUCGGGAUAGCAGCGGGAAACUGCUGGUAACCCCGGAUACGCCCCGCAAGGGGGAAAGUUCACGCUCUGGGAUGGGCCCGCGUCCGAUUAGCUAGUUGGUGGGGUAACGGCCCACCAAGGCUGCGAUCGGUAGCUGGUCUGAGAGGAUGGCCAGCCACACUGGGACUGAGACACGGCCCAGACUCCUACGGGAGGCAGCAGUGGGGAAUCUUGGACAAUGGGCGCAAGCCUGAUCCAGCGACGCCGCGUGGGUGAUGAAGGCCUUCGGGUUGUAAAGCCCUUUUCCCGGGGACGAUGAUGACGGUACCCGGGGAAUAAGCACCGGCUAACUCCGUGCCAGCCGCCGCGGUAAUUC